UACGUAGGCAGCAAGCGUUGUUCGGAGUUACUGGGCGUAAAGGGUGUGUAGGCGGUUCUUUAAGUUCGCUGUGAAAUCUCCCGGCUUAACCGGGAGGGUGCGGUGAAUACUGAGGGACUAGAGUACGGGAGAGGAAAGUGGAAUUCCUGGUGUAGCGGUGAAAUGCGUAGAUAUCAGGAGGAACACCGGUGGUGUAGACGGCUUUCUGGGCCGUAACUGACGCUGAGACACGAAAGCGUGGGUAGCAAACAG
This 252-nucleotide ribosomal RNA is filed under the name uncultured bacterium. RNAcentral describes it as "partial 16S ribosomal RNA". It matches the Rfam family "Bacterial small subunit ribosomal RNA", at positions 524 to 775 of the family's 1533-position model. The record is from RNAcentral.